GUCUGGAUUUCAGUCAUCUCCAUACACUUAUGUCGGCAUCUCUGUAUGCCAACUGCUAUAUUUUUGCCCAUGAAAUAGGCCUGUUGAUUAAAUGACAAAUUGUCUUUCAUGUGUUUGCUUAUUUUAUAUUAGUAGCAUAGAUUACUGUGUGUGUUGCAGAAUGAAGCAACCAAUCUAGGAAACGACAAAUAGUUCAAGGAACAGAUAAUAGUCAUCUAUGUGAUCAGAGAUGAUUAUAAUAUUUUUGAACUUGAGUCUCAUUUUGUUCACAAAACAGAAUUUUGUGGCUUCGUUAUAGAUGCAUGCCCUUUCAUCCCUGAGGUCUUGUAGUACUUGAUGGUAACCAUGGUAUUGAACAAAGUAGUAUCAAUACACACUUCAAAGGACUUCGGAGACAUUAAUUGAGGGCAUUGAUCAGAUGGAUAGACUUAACAUGAUUUUGAUGCUCUAUCUGUAACAAACAUGUCUAUAAUUUGGGCGGAAUGACAAUAAUGCAAAGGAGCUGCCCCUCCAGGAAUAAACAACAGGUGUCAUUGAUCGAUAUCCUCCACAAGAUGUUUGCAAUACAGAAGCUAUCUGGGAAGGUCUUGAUAGGAUCAGCAUGUGCCCAGAAAAAUACAACUUUGACUAUUUGCAUGACAAGAUGAAUUCUUCUGAGGCUUUACGUAAACAUGAGACAUUUCUAGAAAUCAUCAAGGUUCAAGCCUUCAACCUCCAAAAGACCAAAAGGAAAAUACAACAGAAACAUACAGAAUUAAGCAGACAAAUAGCCUCAAUUGAUCAAACAACUAAUAUGUCUUGAAAAAAUCUAUCUUUAAUUUACUUUCAUUAUGAAUAAAGUGUUUCCAUCAACAUGUUGAUGUAUUCGAAUGUGAAAGAUAUAAAUAUGAAUCUAACAUCAAAUACAAAGACAAACUGCAGUGUUAAAGAAACAAAUAGAAGUGUCAAGAACUAAAUAAAAUAUUCUUCCAAUCUUCUCUAACAAUCAAGAAUCAACAUUCCUACUACGCUGCAUUCGGUAAACUUCCGUCUCAACAUCAAUUCAAAAAAAAAUUACCAAUGGAUUUUAAGACAGGCAGCAAAUCUAACAAAGCAUGCAUGUCAAUUGUGGUCCAUAACUGUUCUAAGGUAAGCAAAUUACGAACUAUAGUAUAAACAAAAAGUUCAACUAACCCAUGCAACUCGUUUCCUGUGUGGAAGAAAAGUUGGGGGUUCCCUCCUUAUCAGUAAUGUCUCUUCUUCCUCGUCAUAUACAAGCGCAUCAUGGGCUUGAAUCGGGUUUCCAUCUUUCGGUAACCACAAUCUACUGAAAAUAGAAACGCAUGCUGUCGUUCCCUUCCCUUGUCGGACCUACCGCAGUCUUUGAGUUGGGGAAGAAAGGCAUGCACCUUAGAGAUCCAUCUAAGAAGCCAUCAAUCGCUGCAAGUGGCUCCUUUGGUCCCCUUCGCUUUAGAUCAUACGAAGAAUGCCGGUCUCUUUCUUCCAUCCCUUCCCGUUCUCUGGUAUUCCCCUCAGGUGUUUGUUCGUGAUCCUCGUUGAGAUGGAUGAACACUACAGCAUAGGAUCCGAAUUCGGAGGACCGUCCACUUUUGUCCUUCUUCAAGAUUGGCAUAGAUCUUGGAUGGACGGUCAUCGUCGUCCCCAGAUGGUAUACCAUCAGUUCCCCUCGUUAUUCACCCUUCUGACAACCUGUCCUGUGGUUGGUGCAAAUACGGGGGGCGACAUAUGACGUGUCUCCUCCUGGACGACCAGACAUGUGGGUUCCAGAGUACCAUGAACGUGUUGGGCUCUCACAGACCCCACCUCUGGGCCCCGAUGCUCACUUGCCCAAAGAGUGCCACGUAGGUAUGGGCGGCACGAUAACUCGGGAGUCG
Molecule: long non-coding RNA, 1874 nt
Filed under: Musa acuminata (dwarf banana)
Lineage: Eukaryota; Viridiplantae; Streptophyta; Magnoliopsida; Zingiberales; Musaceae
Description: long non-coding RNA (MACU_LNC004879)
Source: RNAcentral